AACGAACGCUGGCGGCGUGCCUAACACAUGCAAGUCGUGCGGGAAAAUGGGGGCAACCCCAUGAGUACAGCGGCGCACGGGUGAGUAACACGUAGGUAACCUGCCUUCGAGACUGGGAUAACCUGUCGAAAGACGGGCUAAUACUGGAUGAGACCACGGGAGCUCUGGCUUCCGCGGGAAAAGGUGGCCUCUGCUUGCAAGCUACUACUCGGAGAUGGGCCUGCGCGCCAUUAGCUAGUUGGUGAGGUAACGGCUCACCAAGGCAAAGAUGGCUAGC
Molecule: ribosomal RNA, 277 nt
Filed under: uncultured bacterium
Lineage: Bacteria
Description: partial 16S ribosomal RNA
Rfam family: Bacterial small subunit ribosomal RNA
Source: RNAcentral